RNAcentral lists this long non-coding RNA (269 nucleotides) under Elaeis guineensis (African oil palm). RNAcentral's name for it is "long non-coding RNA (EGUI_LNC074706)". The record is from RNAcentral. Lineage: Eukaryota; Viridiplantae; Streptophyta; Magnoliopsida; Arecales; Arecaceae.
UUCGGAUGUCGGGUCCCAUUGCUAGAUGGUUAUAUCAAUUGGUAUAGAAAAUUAUUCCUAUGCUACUGACUUAAGUUCGAACCUAUGGGAUCACACACAUUAGGAGAUUCAGUCAGAUCUGAUGGCUGAAGAGUCCAAAUGGAUUGUGACUUUGGUGAGGAGUCCCACUGGGAUUGAGACUUCAGAGGAGAGUUCCACUAGACUGAGAUUCUACUAUUAAUAGAGAAUUAAUUAAUAUAGAUUAUUAAUUGACUCAAUUUGAUUGAGCA